UUUCAUUCUCUCUUUCUUUCUUUCCUUCCUUAUAUCAACGCGAAAGCAUCGUCAUCGCCCACAUAACUCCCAAAGCUUUCAGAUGCUCACAGUGAAGACAGAAUUAUAAUCCAUAUACUACGUUCUACAAGUCUAUGACAGAACAAACACCCAAGGAUAACUACGUCUUACAUCUAGACCAGCCGAUCUUUCUUUUCCUUUUCUACCACCAGUUAAUCCACAAAAGUCCUUAAUAUAUGUACGUGGCGACCCGGUCCUCCCUCAAUUUUUUGCCACGAGCAAGUUUCUCCUCAUUUCUCUUGUUGCUCCAUCGGUACUGGAAGUGCUGGAAGAUGGCGCAAGCGUUACCGAAAGCAACGAGGCAGACAGUCACUCGGAAACCGAUAGGGUAAGUAGGCGCGUCGUUUGCACGGAGGAGCUGGGAGCCAACAAGACCACCGAGGUUGGCAGCCAUGAUGAACAUGGCCAUGGCGAUGGCUCGCUGUUGUGGAGUCUUUUGGUUGAGGGAGAGCCAAGUGGCGUUCAAAGGGUGCCAGCAGACAGAGUAGCCGCUGGUCAACGUCAAAGUGACGUACUUGGUCCAUCGAUUGGAAGUUAAUGACUCGGAUUGGACUGAAAGCCAAUUAGCAGGUGAUGCUGGUGAUAGCCAAGGCAAAUCGACUUACAGGCAAUCCAAAGGAUCAAAUAAGGGAAGCAAGCGAGGAUGACAAUAGGGCCCUUAUUUUUGAACCUGUCACUAUAGGGAACUGUCAGCAUGAUUAAAGGUGGAGAAAGUUUAGGGGCGGUACUGACCCGACGAAACCGUAGGUAAGCAUGAGAACCAAACUGAUCCAACCGCCGACAGAGGACAAAGCAUUGGCUUUGAUGGUGUCGAAACCGAAACCUUUGAUAAGUGUUGGAAGAUACUGGCCCAAAGCGGCAGUGGUGGCGAUAAGACUGAUAGCGUUGAGGACGUGGGGGUAGUUUCGCCAGUUGCCAAGUGUACCGAGGAUUUCCUGUCGGGUAAGAGGACGGUGAGUGUCAAAUUUGUGCUCAUCAUCAAUGACGACACGGGCCAAAAUGAUCUCACGCUCCCUUGGAGUGAAGAGGGUGAGUCGCUUGAACAAGAGAGGGAGGGGGUUCUUGGGCGAGUUGGGAAGGAAGGUCAAGAAGACAAGGAAGCAGAAGAUGGAGAGACAACCCUCGAUGAGAAAGAGAUAUUGCCAAGGCUUCAAAGCACCGUUAAGACGCAGGAUGCCAGAAGCCAUAAGGCCACCGACACCAGAAACGAGAACGUUGCCAAUGAAAAGGAUGGCGUUUCGGCCACCGAGUUCGGAUCGCUUGUAGAAAGUGGAGAUAGUGUAGAGGGCACCGGGGAUGUCUGAGAAACUAUUAGCCCUUGUCCUCACGUCGCGACACUCAAAUCAAGCUUACAUCCACAUUCACAGACACCGAGCAAGAUACGAGUAGCGAGGAAAGAACCAUAAGAGUUCAUAAACAUCUGAAAAGUAGCGACAAGCCCAAAAGCAAGGACCUGGAAAGUGAGCCACUUUUGGGGACCAAUGCGCUGAACAACCAUCUGGGAAGGCACUCUGCAAAUGGAUAUGUUAGUUCUUGAACAGAAGAACUAACCACAACUGACGUACUCUAGAAGGACGAUACCGAGAUACAGUAAACCUUGACCGGUAUUAUACUGAUCUUGAGUGAUGCCAACAUCUUUCAGGAGAGUAGAGGAUACGGCGUUUGCAAUAUUACUGCAAAAACAAAGGUCAGCGAUACUGCAAGAUACAUGACUAAUAUGCACUGCGACCCACCCUCGUUCGAGCUGGAAACAGAAGAAACCGAAGACUAGUAAGGCCAUGACUGUCAAGUCAAGCUUAAGAACCACUCGUCUUUCUUCGGCAUUUGUCCAAUCCUUGGUGGCUAUUAUACUUGUGGAUGUGAAUUCGUCCUUUUCCGGCUCAUAUUUUUCGUUACCUGAUAAGGUUGAUCAAAAGGAAGGUAAGCAUCAGCCAAUGAUUGAUUAAGUAAGAUAUGAAUGACAGGUGACUCACCUAAAAUAUCGGAUUGAGGACGAGAGUAGCCGUCAUCGAUGCUGUGGACGGAGGAGGAGGCCAUUGUGACAGGUAAGAUAGGUCACGAGGGUCAGUACUGAUGGGAUCUAGAGGGGGACUGGUUUCUGGAAUUUGUGAGUGUGGCAUUCGGAAUAGAGAAAGGUUUGCUCUUUAUACAUGUCAGUGAGAAUCUUGUUAUUCCAGAUUUUUUGAGUGACACGCUAUGAGGGAAUGUCAGAUGUAUGAAAUUUGAAGCAUGAGUUGCAACAAGAUAACCGAUGUUAAGCACGGGUAAAAGGGAUGAGUUGAAUAUGAUGUAGUAGGAACGCUC
RNAcentral lists this small RNA (2364 nucleotides) under Cryptococcus neoformans H99. RNAcentral's name for it is "Cryptococcus neoformans var. grubii H99 hypothetical RNA". Lineage: Eukaryota; Fungi; Basidiomycota; Tremellomycetes; Tremellales; Cryptococcaceae. The record is from RNAcentral.